UGUAGGGGGGUGCUAUACAUGCAAGUCGAACGCUUUGUGGUUCAACUGAUUUGAAGAGCUUGCUCAGAUAUGACGAUGGACAUUGCAAAGAGUGGCGAACGGGUGAGUAACACGUGGGAAACCUACCUCUUAGCAGGGGAUAACAUUUGGAAACAGAUGCUAAUACCGUAUAACAAUGACAACCGCAUGGUUGUUAUUUAAAAGAUGGUUCUGCUAUCACUAAGAGAUGGUCCCGCGGUGCAUUAGCUAGUUGGUAAGGUAAUGGCUUACCAAGGCGAUGAUGCAUAGCCGAGUUGAGAGACUGAUCGGCCACAAUGGGACUGAGACACGGCCCAUACUCCUACGGGAGGCAGCAGUAGGGAAUCUUCCACAAUGGGCGAAAGCCUGAUGGAGCAACGCCGCGUGUGUGAUGAAGGGUUUCGGCUCGUAAAACACUGUUGUAAGAGAAGAAUGACAUUGAGAGUAACUGUUCAAUGUGUGACGGUAUCUUACCAGAAAGGAACGGCUAAAUACGUGCCAGCAGCCGCGGUAAUACGUAUGUUCCAAGCGUUAUCCGGAUUUAUUGGGCGUAAAGCGAGCGCAGACGGUUAUUUAAGUCUGAAGUGAAAGCCCUCAGCUCAACUGAGGAAUUGCUUUGGAAACUGGAUGACUUGAGUGCAGUAGAGGAAAGUGGAACUCCAUGUGUAGCGGUGAAAUGCGUAGAUAUAUGGAAGAACACCAGUGGCGAAGGCGGCUUUCUGGACUGUAACUGACGUUGAGGCUCGAAAGUGUGGGUAGCAAACAGGAUUAGAUACCCUGGUAGUCCACACCGUAAACGAUGAGUGCUAGGUGUUUGAGGGUUUCCGCCCUUAAGUGCCGCAGCUAACGCAUUAAGCACUCCGCCUGGGGAGUACGACCGCAAGGUUGAAACUCAAAGGAAUUGACGGGGACCCGCACAAGCGGUGGAGCAUGUGGUUUAAUUCGAAGCAACGCGAAGAACCUUACCAGGUCUUGACAUCCCUUGACAACUCCAGAGAUGGAGCGUUCCCUUCGGGGACAAGGUGACAGGUGGUGCAUGGUUGUCGUCAGCUCGUGUCGUGAGAUGUUGGGUUAAGUCCCGCAACGAGCGCAACCCUUAUUACUAGUUGCCAGCAUUCAGUUGGGCACUCUAGUGAGACUGCCGGUGACAAACCGGAGGAAGGUGGGGAUGACGUCAAAUCAUCAUGCCCCUUAUGACCUGGGCUACACACGUGCUACAAUGGCGUAUACAACGAGUUGCCAACCCGCGAGGGUGAGCUAAUCUCUUAAAGUACGUCUCAGUUCGGAUUGUAGGCUGCAACUCGCCUACAUGAAGUCGGAAUCGCUAGUAAUCGCGGAUCAGCACGCCGCGGUGAAUACGUUCCCGGGUCUUGUACACACCGCCCGUCACACCAUGAGAGUUUGUAACACCCAAAGCCGGUGGGGUAACCUUCGGGAGCCAGCCGUCUAAGGGGACCCAU
This 1478-nucleotide ribosomal RNA is filed under the name Weissella confusa. RNAcentral describes it as "bacterial SSU rRNA". It matches the Rfam family "Bacterial small subunit ribosomal RNA". The record is from RNAcentral. Lineage: Bacteria; Bacillati; Bacillota; Bacilli; Lactobacillales; Lactobacillaceae.